AAACUUUCAAAAUUAUUUGUAUGUUGAAACAGAAGAAAGUAACAUUUUUUCAGAAUUCCAGUAAUAAAUAUUUUAAAAACAAUUGGUGCUUAGUGCUUACUUGGUAAUUGGUAUGCCAUUAAACAAUGAGACUAGUAGUAGAAAAUUAAACAUUUUAUCUUUUAUUGACCAAAGCACAAGUUAUCUAUCCAAUCAAAAUUUGGCAUGGAAUAAUC
This 215-nucleotide long non-coding RNA is filed under the name Brassica napus (rape). RNAcentral's name for it is "long non-coding RNA (BNAP_LNC004848)". The record is from RNAcentral. Lineage: Eukaryota; Viridiplantae; Streptophyta; Magnoliopsida; Brassicales; Brassicaceae.